AUACUCUAGUUUCUCUUCAGAUCGUAUAAAUCUUUCGCCUUUUACUAAAGAUUUCCGUGGAGAGGAACAAUUCUGAGUUUUUUAACCAAUUUUUUGAAGCCUUGCUUUGGCAGGGCU
RNAcentral lists this small nuclear RNA (117 nucleotides) under Equus asinus (donkey). RNAcentral describes it as "U5 spliceosomal RNA (ENSEASG00005023586.1, ENSEASG00020028925.1)". It matches the Rfam family "U5 spliceosomal RNA". From Rfam's summary of the family: U5 RNA is a component of both types of known spliceosome. The precise function of this molecule is unknown, though it is known that the 5' loop is required for splice site selection and p220 binding, and that both the 3' stem-loop and the Sm site are important for Sm protein binding and cap methylation. Lineage: Eukaryota; Metazoa; Chordata; Mammalia; Perissodactyla; Equidae. The record is from Rfam by way of RNAcentral.